GAUGAACGCUGGCGGCGUGCCUAAUACAUGCAAGUCGAGCGAACGGACGAGAAGCUUGCUUCUCUGAUGUUAGCGGCGGACGGGUGAGUAACACGUGGAUAACCUACCUAUAAGACUGGGAUAACUUCGGGAAACCGGAGCUAAUACCGGAUAAUAUUUUGAACCGCAUGGUUCAAAAGUGAAAGACGGUCUUGCUGUCACUUAUAGAUGGAUCCGCGCUGCAUUAGCUAGUUGGUAAGGUAACGGCUUACCAAGGCAACGAUGCAUAGCCGACCUGAGAGGGUGAUCGGCCACACUGGAACUGAGACACGGUCCAGACUCCUACGGGAGGCAGCAGUAGGGAAUCUUCCGCAAUGGGCGAAAGCCUGACGGAGCAACGCCGCGUGAGUGAUGAAGGUCUUCGGAUCGUAAAACUCUGUUAUUAGGGAGGAACAUAUGUGUAAGUAACUGUGCACAUCUUGACGGUACCUAAUCAAAAAGCCACGGCUAACUACGUG
Molecule: ribosomal RNA, 497 nt
Filed under: uncultured bacterium
Lineage: Bacteria
Description: partial 16S ribosomal RNA
Rfam family: Bacterial small subunit ribosomal RNA
Source: RNAcentral